AGUCGCGUACACAAGCUCUAAAUUCAGCAGAGCUGAGUACAACUACACGACCACGGACCAAGAGUGUUUAGGAACUGUCCUAGCACUUGAAGAGUGGCGCUGUUACCUCGAGGGUGCAUCGGAUGUCACUUUAGUCACCGAUCACCAACCGCUGGUCUAUUUGCAAGAUCAGCAAAGCGCCGAUAAACUCUCUCGACGACAAGCUCGUUGGUUGGAACGCCUCUCACGUUUCGACUUUAAAUGGGAGUACCGACCCGGACGAAUCAACGUUGCUGACCCUCUCAGUCGGGUCCACGACGUGGUGCUGAACGUGCUUACGGCAUCGCUGAUUGGCAGCGAUAUUGGGCGCCGAAUCCUAAGCGGGUACGACGGCGAUCCCAUGCUCAAGAAGAGCUCGGUAGCAAAACUGCAGCUUAAACGGAAAGACGGCUUCUGGUAUUACGGUUCCCAGUUGUACGUUCCGGAUGUGCUUGACUUGCGAAAGGACAUCAUCCACGAAAAUCACGAUGUUCCUUACGCUGGCCACCGCGGCAUUGACCGNACCAAAAAAGCGAUCGCGAAACAUUUUUGGUGGUCCGGGUUGGAUACUAACGUGAAGGCCUACGUUAGUACCUGCCCUUCUUGUCAGCGCAAUAAGGCUUCAAAUCAAAAGCCAGGCGGACUGCUGCAGCCCCUUCCCAUUCCAGAUAACGUUUGGGAUAGUGUGUCAAUGGAUUUGGUCACACAGCUACNNNNNNNNNNNNNNNNNNNNNNNNNNNNNNNNNNNNNNNNNNNNNNNNNNAAAACCAUUAAAGAAUGGCCGAUACCGACAGACUUGCAAAAGCUGCGUUCGUUCCUUGGCUUAGCCAAUUAUUUUCGAAGAUUUAUCCAAGGAUAUUCUUCUCUCGUGGCCCCCCUCACGUCACUCACCAGUGCGAAGGUGCCCUACCACUGGACGAAGGACUGUCAAGGCUCCUUCGAGGGCGUGAAGUCUGCCUUAACCAACGCACCAGUAUUAAAACUCCCUGAACUAGACAAACCCUUCACUGUCUGGUCCGAUGCGUCGUUACACGGCACGGGCGCCGUACUUUUACAGAACGACCGCCCAGUCGCGUACACAAGCUCUAAAUUCAGCAGAGCUGAGUACAACUACACGACCACGGACCAAGAGUGUUUAGGAACUGUCCUAGCACUUGAAGAGUGGCGCUGUUACCUCGAGGGUGCAUCGGAUGUCACCUUAGUCACCGAUCACCAACCGCUGGUCUAUUUGCAAGAUCAGCAAAGCGCCGAUAAACUCUCUCGACGACAAGCUCGUUGGUUGGAACGCCUCUCACGUUUCGACUUUAAAUGGGAGUACCGACCCGGACGAAUCAACGUUGCUGACCCUCUCAGUCGGGUCCACGACGUGGUGCUGAACGUGCUUACGGCAUCGCUGAUUGGCAGCGAUAUUGGGCGCCGAAUCCUAAGCGGGUACGACGGCGAUCCCAUGCUCAAGAAGAGCUCGGUAGCAAAACUGCAGCUUAAACGGAAAGACGGCUUCUGGUAUUAUGGUUCCCAGUUGUACGUUCCGGAUGUGCUUGACUUGCGAAAGGACAUCAUCCACGAAAAUCACGAUGUUCCUUACGCUGGCCACCGCGGCAUUGACCGCACCAAAAAAGCGAUCGCGAAACAUUUUUGGUGGUCCGGGUUGGAUACUAACGUGAAGGCCUACGUUAGUACCUGCCCUUCUUGUCAGCGCAAUAAGGCUUCAAAUCAAAAGCCAGGCGGACUGCUGCAGCCCCUUCCCAUUCCAGAUAACGUUUGGGAUAGUGUGUCAAUGGAUUUGGUCACACAGCUACCCACAACCCGCAAUGGGCAUGACGCGAUAGUAGUGUUCGUGGACCGCCUGAGCAAGAUGACGCACUUCGCUCCCACAACCACAUCCGUCGGUGCGGAAGAUCUAGCCCGCCUCUUUGUGGCUACGGUUUUCAAACAGCACGGCCUUCCACAGAAUAUUGUGUCUGACCGGGACACACGCUUCACAAGCAACUUUUGGAAGGAA
Molecule: long non-coding RNA, 2020 nt
Filed under: Volvox carteri
Lineage: Eukaryota; Viridiplantae; Chlorophyta; Chlorophyceae; Chlamydomonadales; Volvocaceae
Description: long non-coding RNA (VCAR_LNC000816)
Source: RNAcentral